Molecule: ribosomal RNA, 468 nt
Filed under: uncultured bacterium
Lineage: Bacteria
Description: partial 16S ribosomal RNA
Rfam family: Bacterial small subunit ribosomal RNA
Source: RNAcentral
GACGAACGCUGGCGGCGUGCUUAACACAUGCAAGUCGAACGGAAAGGCCCUGCUUUUGUGGGGUGCUCGAGUGGCGAACGGGUGAGUAACACGUGAGUAACCUGCCCUUGACUUUGGGAUAACUUCAGGAAACUGGGGCUAAUACCGGAGAGGAGCUCCUGCUGCAUGGUGGGGGUUGGAAAGUUUCGGCGGUUGGGGAUGGACUCGAGGCUUAUCAGCUGGUUGGUGGGGUAGUGGCUUACGAAGGCUUUGACGGGUAGCCGGCCUGAGAGGGUGACCGGCCACAUUGGGACUGAGAGACGGCGCAGACGCCUACGGGAGGCAGCGGUGGAGAAUCUGGCACAAUGGGCGGAAGCCUGAUGCAGCAACGUCGCGUGCGGGAUGACGGCCUUCGGGUUGUAAACCGCUUUCGCCUGUGACGAAGCGGGAGUGACGGUAAUGGGUAAAGAAGCACCGGCUAACUACGUG